RNAcentral lists this ribosomal RNA (382 nucleotides) under uncultured eukaryote. RNAcentral describes it as "partial 18S ribosomal RNA". It matches the Rfam family "Eukaryotic small subunit ribosomal RNA", at positions 592 to 976 of the family's 1831-position model. The record is from RNAcentral.
UGUAAGCGUAUACCAAAGUUGUUGCAGUUAAAACGCUCGUAGUCGGAAUUUGGCAGUUCCGGAUGUGUGCACGUCGUGUGCGCACUUCGCGGGGAUUGCUUUUGUGGUCUUGCGUAGGAUGAGGCACUUUUAUUAGUGAACGUCCUCACGCAACCACUUUUUACUGUGAGAAAAUCAGAGUGCUCAAAGCAGGCAUUUGCCGUGAAUGUAUUAGCAUGGAAUAAUAGAAUAGGACUUGGUUCUAUUUUGUUGGUUUGUUGGGACUGAGUAAUGAUUAAGAGGGACAGUUGGGGGCAUUUGUAUUUCGGUGCUAGAGGUGAAAUUCUUAGAUUACCGAAAGACAAACUGCUGCGAAAGCGUCUGCCCAGGAUGUUUUCAUUGA